GUCAGGAUGGCCGAGUGGUCUAAGGCGUCAGACUCAAGCUCUGAAUGGAGGCGUGGGUUCGAAUCCCACUUCUGACA
Synchiropus splendidus (mandarinfish) is the source of this 77-nucleotide non-coding RNA. The record is from the annotation of a RefSeq genome assembly. Lineage: Eukaryota; Metazoa; Chordata; Actinopteri; Syngnathiformes; Callionymidae.